This 467-nucleotide ribosomal RNA is filed under the name uncultured bacterium. RNAcentral's name for it is "partial 16S ribosomal RNA". It matches the Rfam family "Bacterial small subunit ribosomal RNA", at positions 28 to 507 of the family's 1533-position model. The record is from RNAcentral.
GACGAACGCUGGCGGCGUGCUUAACACAUGCAAGUCGAACGGAAAGGCCCUGCUUUUGUGGGGUGCUCGAGUAGCGAACGGGUGAGUAACACGUGAGUAACCUGCCCUUGACUUUGGGAUAACUUCAGGAAACUGGGGCUAAUACCGGAUAGGAGCUCCUGCUGCAUGGUGGGGGUUGGAAAGUUUCGGCGGUUGGGGAUGGACUCGCGGCUUAUCAGCUUGUUGGUGGGGUAGUGGCUUACCAAGGCUUUGACGGGUAGCCGGCCUGAGAGGGUGACCGGCCACAUUGGGACUGAGAUACGGCCCAGACUCCUACGGGAGGCAGCAGUGGGAAUAUUGCACAAUGGGCGGAAGCCUGAUGCAGCAACGCCGCGUGCGGGAUGACGGCCUUCGGGUUGUAAACCGCUUUCGCCUGUGACGAAGCGUGAGUGACGGUAAUGGGUAAAGAAGCACCGGCUAACUACGUG